CCAUACGUACUCCAAUCCCGGUUUACCGUGCCACCCAUCACCUCCUGACACCUUUUCCCCACUCCCGGUCAUUUCAGCCGAAAGUAUGUAGCUUACUUCCUCACCUGCUACCACUGUUUGCCACCGCCGGUCAUCUGAGUCCCAUCCUCAUUAAUGUCAUGCAGAAAAGCGGCAGACAUAACAGUCAACUAUUAUUUGGCGUAAUGAUUACCGGUCAAAGUUGGGUUAAGUGACAAUUUACAUAAUGGGCUAAUUCAAUGACUAAGCCCAAAUGAAGGAAAUGACCCAUAUGACCGGAUCCAACCGAGAUAACCCAACGAAAUGAUCAAGUAAUUGGGCCUAUAUCAUUCGGAUCAAUAGGACAAAAGUAACAUAAUCCAAG
This 382-nucleotide long non-coding RNA is filed under the name Panax ginseng (ginseng). RNAcentral's name for it is "long non-coding RNA (PGIN_LNC014796)". Lineage: Eukaryota; Viridiplantae; Streptophyta; Magnoliopsida; Apiales; Araliaceae. The record is from RNAcentral.